GGCUUCUUCCUUAUAUUUUCGGGAGGACAAGCAGCUUUCGGCAUUCGGGUGGGCCCAGAGAGUGUGGGGCAGCUCGUAUUAUUUUUAUUCUCCUAUCCCUAUCCACUUUUUUCUUCCAUCCAUUCUCUUUUUAUGCGACAUACUGAAAAUUGUCCUC
Caenorhabditis elegans is the source of this 157-nucleotide non-coding RNA. Lineage: Eukaryota; Metazoa; Nematoda; Chromadorea; Rhabditida; Rhabditidae. The record is from Ensembl.